This 893-nucleotide ribosomal RNA is filed under the name Fomitopsis pinicola. Its description in RNAcentral is "partial large subunit ribosomal RNA". It matches the Rfam family "Eukaryotic large subunit ribosomal RNA", at positions 65 to 945 of the family's 3401-position model. The record is from RNAcentral. Lineage: Eukaryota; Fungi; Basidiomycota; Agaricomycetes; Polyporales; Fomitopsidaceae.
CUAACAAGGAUUCCCCUAGUAACUGCGAGUGAAGCGGGAAAAGCUCAAAUUUAAAAUCUGGCGGUCUUUGGCCGUCCGAGUUGUAGUCUGGAGAAGUGCUUUCCGCGCUGGACCGUGUACAAGUCUCUUGGAACAGAGCGUCAUAGAGGGUGAGAAUCCCGUCUUUGACACGGACUACCAGUGCUUUGUGAUGUGCUCUCAAAGAGUCGAGUUGUUUGGGAAUGCAGCUCAAAAUGGGUGGUAAAUUCCAUCUAAAGCUAAAUAUUGGCGAGAGACCGAUAGCGAACAAGUACCGUGAGGGAAAGAUGAAAAGCACUUUGGAAAGAGAGUUAAACAGUACGUGAAAUUGCUGAAAGGGAAACGCUUGAAGUCAGUCGCGUUGGCCAGGACUCAGCCUUGCUUUUGCUUGGUGCAUUUUCUGGUUGACGGGCCAGCAUCGAUUUUGACCGCUGGAAAAAGGUUAGGGGAAUGUGGCACCUUCGGGUGUGUUAUAGCCCUUAGUCGCAUACAGUGGUUGGGAUCGAGGACCGCAGCACGCCUUUAUGGCCGGGGUUCGCCCACGUUCGUGCUUAGGAUGCUGGCGUAAUGGCUUUAAACGACCCGUCUUGAAACACGGACCAAGGAGUCUAACAUGCCUGCGAGUGUUUGGGUGGAAAACCCGAGCGCGUAAUGAAAGUGAAAGUUGAGAUCCCUGUCGUGGGGAGCAUCGACGCCCGGACUUGAACUUCGGUGAUGGAUCUGCGGUAGAGCAUGUAUGUUGGGACCCGAAAGAUGGUGAACUAUGCCUGAAUAGGGUGAAGCCAGAGGAAACUCUGGUGGAGGCUCGUAGCGAUUCUGACGUGCAAAUCGAUCGUCAAAUUUGGGUAUAGGGGCGAAAGACUAAUCGAACAUCU